CGCGAAACCAGGCGAGCUACUACUAUACGAAUAUUAGUACAGAGUAUGUGGCAUAAUAAUUAAAGAUAGAGUAGUAGGGGUGAUAGGCUAUCAAGUUUGGUGAUAUCUCGUUACCCUUGAAAUGUAUUUAGUACGGUGUCAAUUCAUUAGUGAUAAGGCUUGUGAAAAAUAUGUAACUUGAUAAUUUUAAAGUACAUAGCUUAACCGCUAGUAACUAACUACAAAAAUAUUAAAAUCGCAAUAUAGUAAAUAAUAAAAGGUGCUAAUUAAUUACAGUGCUUAUUAAUACUGUGUGUAUUAGUAGUUAAGGUAUCAUUGAUGAACUCGGCAACAUUUCUUUCACCUGUUUAUCAAAAACAUCGCCAGUAGAAAAAGACUAUUGGUCAUUUCUGCUCAAUGUAUCAUAAAUAGCCGCAGUACCCUGACUGUGCAAAGGUAGCAUAAUCAUUUGGCUUAUAAUUGAAGUCUCGUAUGAAGGAAGUCAUGGGGGAAAACUCUAUUAAUGGUAGUAAGUGAAUUUAUUAAGGGGGUGCAAAACCCCCCCGGUAAAUAACAGACGAGAAGACCCUAGAAAUUUAUAAGAUAUGCUAAAAUCACUUUUUGUUGGGGCAACAUCGUAGCAUUCAAACCUACAGUAACAACACGCCAUGUUUUAGUAAGAUAAAAUUACUCUAGGGAUAACAGCGUAAUUCUCAAGAGUUUGCGACCUCGAUGUUGGACUAGGAAGCACACGCUUAGAA
Molecule: ribosomal RNA, 740 nt
Filed under: Amplirhagada sphaeroidea
Lineage: Eukaryota; Metazoa; Mollusca; Gastropoda; Stylommatophora; Camaenidae
Description: partial 16S ribosomal RNA
Source: RNAcentral